UCCAGGUCACCCUGAUGAACGCGUUUGUGUUAUUCAUACCUUUGCGAUCGGCAGAUACGAUGACGAUCCAGAUACGUAACAGAGGCGUUGUGAUUACUGUCUUUAUUCUUAUUGUCUUUAAGCUCAUUAAAUCUUACGCCCACUACGAUAUUUUCAGAUACUGUCGUUCAUUCAGUGAUUCCGGUAUAAAUAGGUUCGUACCUCAUCUGCGAAUCGCGAUCUCGAAACCUCUCUGCUAUUCAUCUCUCUCUCUCUCUCAUAUUCAUCUCUUAAUACUCAUCUCUCUUGAGGCUAACUGGCUAUUGGAAGAGAUUUUUUUGUGUUUAAAUAGGAAUCUGGUGCUGGAGACGGUGUUUGUGUAUAGGAAUAGUAAUGAGGUUGAGUGCACUGGGCUGGGGAAGAAGAUGAUGAGGAGAAAGAUUAAAGCUUGGAAGAAAAAGGAAGUGAUUUAGAAAGGUGUGUGAAAGUUUCGAAUGAGGUGAGAUUGGAGAAGUCAUUGGUGUCGUUUGAGAAACCUAAGUUUGACAGUACAUCUAAAGUAAAUGGUCCAGAGAAGAUGUUGGAACUCUGUUGAAAUCAAAGCAAUGGCUAGACGUGAACGUGAGAUAGAAGUUGGUUGAACAUGAGUUUUGUGAAGCGAUUUCUGAACAGACCAGAAGUAUCUACAUCUCGGAUAUUAUGCAUAUGGAAAUAUCAAGCUGCAAGGAAUCCAUAGAAAGAUACCGUGUUCGAAUCAGAGUGUGUAUGUAGGCUACUUUGGAGGUGGUUUCUGGCCAGAUAUAAGGAAAUUGGAUCAAGACAAAGUUAUAUAUGGAAAGAUUUCAUUGCAGAGAGUUCGUUGGAUCAACCGAAUUAUGAAUAGAAGUUAUAAACAAUUAGUAUUUCACCUUCAAAGUUGGGCCACAUUCAACUGAAUCUGCAGAAAUAGAUAAAACUGUUCUGCAACAGCAUUUUUAGGAGAUUGUUUGACAAGUGUGGCAGAUAACUGAUGAAGUUGUUUUUGUGGGCUUCAAUGGGGAAGAUGACAAAAUCAACUAACAUUAGAGCUGCCGAGGCUGGGCAUCUUCUGGUGAGACUGAACUCUGAACUGAUAGGAUGAAGGUUUUGAGAACCAUGUAGACAUCCAGCUCCCUUUGUUCAUUGCCGCUCAUGUGGGGAAGACUUAAAUUUUCCAGUUGAGGUUGUCCCAUUUUACCGUAAAUAAGGACUACUGAUAAUCAUCGGUAAAUUUUCAUCCUCCGCAGUUUCAGUGUUUUCAUAUUUUGGUUAACUUUAUUUUGCUACCGUUUUGGUUAGCUUUAUCUGGCUACCGUUUUGGCAAAUUUUUAGAGAUUUUCUAUAAAAAAAAUUCAAAUUCAAAUUGUUA
Raphanus sativus (radish) is the source of this 1366-nucleotide long non-coding RNA. RefSeq lists it as uncharacterized. The record is from RefSeq and is a predicted model, not a curated record. NCBI's taxonomy places the organism in Eukaryota, Viridiplantae, Streptophyta, Magnoliopsida, Brassicales, Brassicaceae. The transcript is spliced from 3 exons.